UCUGGUUGAUCCUGCCAGUUGGCAUAUGCUCGUCUCUAAGAUUAAGCCAUGCAUGUCUGAGUUCAUACCUAGUAAACGUGAGACUGCGAAAGGCUCAGUACAUCAGUUAUAGUUUAUUCGAUUGUGAGAUCCACAUGGAUAACCGUGGAAAAUCUAGAGCUAAUACAUGCGAAAAAAUUCAGUCAAUGGAGAGAUCCAUUGUCCGAUGAUGCAUUUAUUAGAUUAAACCAAUCGAUGCUACAGUUGGCGCAAGCUGGAUGUAGCAUUGCUGUGGUGAGUCUGGAUAACUGUGCCGAUCGUAUGGCCUAGAGCCGGCGACAUUUCGAUUAAAUUUCUGCCCUAUCAACUUGUUGGUAAGGUAGUGGCUUACCAAGGUGAUAACGGGUAACGGGGAAUCAGGGUUCGAUUCCGGAGAGGGAGCCUGAGAAACGGCUACCACAUCCAAGGACGGCAGCAGGCGCGCAAAUUACCCAAUCCAGACACUGGGAGGUGGUGACGAGAAAUACCAGGUCGUUCCCAAAAGGAUUCGACACUGGAAUGAGUUUAAUUUAAAAAUUUAAACGAGAAACAACUGGAGGGCAAGUCUGGUGCCAGCAGCCGCGGUAAUUCCAGCUCCAGUAGUGUAUCCAAACGUUGCUGCGGUUAAAACGCUCGUAGUUGGACAAGAGAGUAACUUGGUGCGGGCGGGGAGUGUGAUUGCUCUAUGUGUUUGCCUCUUGUGGUUGAUGCUACUCGUCUUGUACUUGUAGUAUUGGCACAUUAGGAUGUAGCAUAGUAGUGCACUUGUCGACCAUGCUGCCAGGUUCCUUGUAAUGAUUCGUGAGAAUGGUACAUGGCCUUCAUUGUGCUGUGUACUGUGUCUUACGUAGUGUGCCUUGAAUAAAUCAGAGUGCUCAAAGCAAGCUAUCGCUUGAAUGUUAAUAGCAUGGAACGAAUGUGUUGUGAGAGUGUGCUAAUGAGCAUCACUUGUGGUGUUUAUUAGUGCACAGCACCAACCGCGAAGCGGAACAUUGGUUGCCGACUUCGGGUGAGGAUUAAGAGGGGCAUUUGGGGGCAUUAGUAUUUGGCCGCGAGAGGUGAAAUUCUUGGACCGGCCAAGGACUAACAAGUGCGAAAGCAUUUGCCAAGUAUGUUCCCUUUAAUCAAGAACGAAAGUGAGAGGUUCGAAGACGAUCAGAUACCGUCCUAGUUCUCACCGUAAACGAUGCCAACCCGGGAUCAGUCCGGAUGAGAUUUUUUGGAUCCAGGUUGGUCCCCCUGGGAAACCUUGAGUGUUUAGGUUCCGGGGGGAGUAUGGUUGCAAGGCUGAAACUUAAAGGAAUUGACGGAAGGGCACCACCAGGGGUGGAGCCUGCGGCUCAAUUUGACUCAACACGGGAAAACUCACCUGGUCCGGACAUCGAUAGGAUUGACAGACUAAUAGAUCUUUCAUGAUACGGUGGGUGGUGGUGCAUGGCCGUUCUUAGUUCGUGGAGCGAUCUGUCAGGUUUAUUCCGGUAACGAACGAGACCACGUUCUUCAUUUGGGGAACUGCAGGACAGGUGCUGUGAAGGGCUAGUCACUGAUGGAUAGUGCAUCUCCCGGUGUGCUACUCAUUGGCCGUCGAGUCGGUUGCAGCAUUUGCACCUGUGGUGUGCGUACAGCAAUGUGCGUCCCUAUGGAGAGACAGCCGGAUUGUAAGGCGGAGGAAGCGUGGCAAUAACAGGUCUGUGAUGCCCUUCGAUGUUCAGGGCCGCACGCGCGCUACAAUGAUAACGACAACGAGAGUCUGGACUGAAAAGUUCUGGGUAAUCUUAUGAAUCGUUAUCGUGAUGGGGAUUGAGCAUUGUAAUUGUUGCUCAUGAAAUAGGAAUCCCUUGUAUACGUGUCUCACUUAGGACACGUAGAAUGCGUCUCUGCCCUUUGUACACACCGCCCGUCGCUACUACCGAGUGAAUGGUGUCAUGAUGUCUUGGGACUGGACGUUGUUGGCAGUGAAAACUGCGGACGACGCUAG
RNAcentral lists this ribosomal RNA (1996 nucleotides) under Zschokkella auratis. RNAcentral describes it as "SSU rRNA". It matches the Rfam family "Eukaryotic small subunit ribosomal RNA". The record is from RNAcentral. Lineage: Eukaryota; Metazoa; Cnidaria; Myxozoa; Bivalvulida; Myxidiidae.